AUCCUCCAGAUUUCUUACCCAUCAGACCUAUACUCUGGUCUGAGUGGCUCUACAAGGAGAAGUAAAAGGGAAAGUGGCAGUGUGUGUGUGUGUGUGUGUGUGUCCUACAAACUAGUUUCAAAUAAAC
This 127-nucleotide small nucleolar RNA is filed under the name Echinops telfairi (small Madagascar hedgehog). RNAcentral's name for it is "Small nucleolar RNA SNORA61 (ENSETEG00000025398.1)". The record is from RNAcentral. Lineage: Eukaryota; Metazoa; Chordata; Mammalia; Afrosoricida; Tenrecidae.